UACAGAGGGUGCGAGCGUUAAUCGGAAUGACUGGGCGUAAAGCGCGCGUAGGCGGCAGGACAAGUUGGAUGUGAAAGCCCCGGGCUCAACCUGGGAACGGCAUUCAAAACUGUCUAGCUCGAGUACAGAAGAGGUAAGUGGAAUUUCCGGUGUAGCAGUGAAAUGCGUAGAGAUCGGAAGGAACACCAGUGGCGAAGGCGGCUUACUGGUCUGAUACUGACGCUGAGGCGCGAAGGCGUGGGGAGCAAACAGG
RNAcentral lists this ribosomal RNA (253 nucleotides) under uncultured bacterium. RNAcentral's name for it is "partial 16S ribosomal RNA". It matches the Rfam family "Bacterial small subunit ribosomal RNA", at positions 524 to 776 of the family's 1533-position model. The record is from RNAcentral.